AAAAGUCGGGAUGUUUUAGGGUUUUGCUGUAAAAAACAGGCGCUUAUGUGAGGCACGGCAAAGCCGUCCAUUCCCACCGGCAUCAUCGCAGCCCCGCACGGCCCUGCCUCCAGGCCGGACAGCGUUUGCCUUGGCCGAGCAGGGUCACGCAGGCUUGCGUGUGGUAGAGACCUCGUGGGGGAUUUUCUCUCUCGCUCCCCUGAAAUCGUGAGGCGGCCUCCAUGGUGAAGAAGGCACACUCUGAAGAAGACGACCUGAGAAGAGCAAGUAGGGGGUCCACCGAGAGGAGUUGCUGGUGACUGUCAAUGAACAAAAUCUAAGGAUCUGUCCCAUUGAGAAAAGUACAACUGCAGGAACUGGCCCUCUGAAAGAAGAUGUAACACUGAGAAACAUACUGCUGUGGCUGUGAAGACAAAAGAGACAUGCUGGGCAAGUGUGCUGAGAAGACAAUGUUUAAAACCACCCACAGACAAAAGCAUGGAGUCUAGCUAAGAGCUGGCUCGCAGGAUAGGCUGGAACCAAGCUACGAACUCAGCCAAAGAAUCCUCUGGCUCUGUUUUCUCUU
This is a long non-coding RNA of Pezoporus occidentalis (night parrot), 565 nucleotides long. RefSeq lists it as uncharacterized. The record is from RefSeq and is a predicted model, not a curated record. NCBI's taxonomy places the organism in Eukaryota, Metazoa, Chordata, Aves, Psittaciformes, Psittacidae. The transcript is spliced from 3 exons.